Molecule: long non-coding RNA, 823 nt
Filed under: Erythranthe guttata (spotted monkey flower)
Lineage: Eukaryota; Viridiplantae; Streptophyta; Magnoliopsida; Lamiales; Phrymaceae
Description: long non-coding RNA (EGUT_LNC002502)
Source: RNAcentral
UGCAAUAAUUAAAACAUAUAUUCUAACAUUAAAAAUCUUUAUAUGUUUUCUUAAAGAAAAAAGUCUUUAUAUGUUUUACAUUUUAUAUUAAAUAAGAAUAAUAAUAAUAAAAUAAAAUAAAAGUCUUCUUCUUUCCCCCUCCAACUCACCACCCCCUCCACCACACCCACAAAUCACCACCGCUUCAACUCCGCCGCUGCCCCACCGCUCCCCACCAUCAUUUCAACCAUCCUGCACCAUCACCGCCACCAUCACAAUCUUCUCCAGAUCCACAUCCCACAACCACAUUAAAAAUAGGUUCCAGAUCCGUCGCCCCGCCCACAACAGUAAGAAUGAUGGAUGUUAAUACUAAAUAAAAGGAAAUAUAUAUUCAACAACACAAAAGUUGAAGUACUCUUCCGGUGGCAGCCGCAGCGCCGAGUCCGGAGGCGGCGGAGAGAUUUCGAUCUCGUUCUCGUCUCGGUGCAGUUCCUUUUCGUACGAUUCCUUCUCUUCACCUGCACUAUUUCGUGAGGUCGCCCGCAUCGAUAGAGCGGCAGGACUGAGGAGGCGUCGGCGGCGGUUGUGCCCGUCGUUAUUGCUCUGCAAUGCCAUUUCUAACGCCAGAACUUUUGGGUAGGAGAUAGGUUUUUAAGAAAUUUUAGAAACUACAAUUUGGUCCUGUAAAUUAGGUUAUUUAUAAUUGAAUCGAUAUUAUUUUAUGUUUAUUUACUAAGGGCUAUUCGUAAAUUAAAUUAUAUGGGGUAUUUUGGUAUUUUCACGGUCAGUCAAUGGGAAAAAAUCAAAUGGGUCGAGUGUGCUGUCCAAAAAUAUUCAUAGGGGG